This 497-nucleotide ribosomal RNA is filed under the name uncultured bacterium. RNAcentral's name for it is "partial 16S ribosomal RNA". It matches the Rfam family "Bacterial small subunit ribosomal RNA", at positions 28 to 507 of the family's 1533-position model. The record is from RNAcentral.
GAUGAACGCUGGCGGCGUGCCUAAUACAUGCAAGUCGAGCGAACAGACGAGGAGCUUGCUCCUCUGACGUUAGCGGCGGACGGGUGAGUAACACGUGGAUAACCUACCUAUAAGACUGGGAUAACUUCGGGAAACCGGAGCUAAUACCGGAUAAUAUAUUGAACCGCAUGGUUCAAUAGUGAAAGACGCUUUUGCUGUCACUUAUAGAUGGAUCCGCGCCGCAUUAGCUAGUUGGUAAGGUAACGGCUUACCAAGGCAACGAUGCGUAGCCGACCUGAGAGGGUGAUAGGCCACACUGGAACUGAGACACGGUCCAGACUCCUACGGGAGGCAGCAGUAGGGAAUCUUCCGCAGUGGGCGAAAGCCUGACGGAGCAACGCCGCGUGAGUGAUGAAGGUCUUCGGAUCUUAAAACUCUGUUAUUAGGGAAGAACAAAUGUGUAAGUAACUAUGCACGUCUUGACGGUACCUAAUCAGAAAGCCACGGCUAACUACGUG